Molecule: ribosomal RNA, 484 nt
Filed under: uncultured Pseudomonadota bacterium
Lineage: Bacteria; Pseudomonadati; Pseudomonadota
Description: bacterial SSU rRNA
Rfam family: Bacterial small subunit ribosomal RNA
Source: RNAcentral
UGGGGAAUAUUGCGCAAUGGGCGAAAGCCUGACGCAGCCACGCCGCGUGAGCGAUGAAGGCCUUCGGGUCGUAAAGCUCUGUGGGGAGAGACGAAGAAAGCCCGUGAAGAGCGGGCCUUGACGGUAUCUCCCUAGCAAGCACCGGCUAACUCCGUGCCAGCAGCCGCGGUAAUACGGAGGGUGCAAACGUUGCUCGGAAUCAUUGGGCGUAAAGCGCACGUAGGCGGCGAAGCAAGUUGGGUGUGAAAGCCCUGGGCUCAACCCAGGAAGUGCAUUCAAAACUGCUUCGCUUGAAUCUCGGAGGGGGUCAGAGAAUUCCCGGUGUAGAGGUGAAAUUCGUAGAUAUCGGGAGGAAUACCAGUGGCGAAGGCGCUGACCUGGACGAAGAUUGACGCUGAGGUGCGAAAGCGCGGGGAGCAAACAGGAUUAGAUACCCUGGUAGUCCGCGCUGUAAACGAUGAGUGCUAGACGGUGGAGGUAUUGA